RNAcentral lists this long non-coding RNA (547 nucleotides) under Capsicum annuum. Its description in RNAcentral is "long non-coding RNA (CANN_LNC006249)". The record is from RNAcentral. Lineage: Eukaryota; Viridiplantae; Streptophyta; Magnoliopsida; Solanales; Solanaceae.
GGGGGGGUAAGAUGUACGCAGUCCAUACCUCUACCUCUGAUGAAGUAGAAAGGCUGUUUCCGAUAGACCCCCGGCUCAAGACACGAGAUACCACACAAACACAUAGUAAAGCACAGAAGCAGAUUACAUAUCAUAAAUAUGGCACCUAUAAGUAAUAUAAAACCCAAACUGGCCCUAAUCCUCUGCCGAAAUUUGCUCCCUCCAGACCUUCCUAUCUAGGGUCAUGUCCUCGGUGAGCUGUAACUGUUCCAUGUCCCGCCUAAUCACCUCGCCCCAGUACUUCUUCGGCCUACCCCUACCCCGCCUAAAACCAUCCAACGCUAGCCUCUCACACCUACAGACCGGGGCAUCCAUGCCCCUCCUCUUCACGUGUCCGAACCAUCUCAAUCGUGCUUCCCGCAUCUUGCACUCCACUGAAGUCACACCAACCUUCUCCCGGAUAGUUUCAUUCCGAACUCUAUCCCCUCUAGUCAGUCCACACAUCCAGCGCAACAUCCUCAUUUCUGUCACCUUCAUUUUCUGGAUGUGGGAGUUCUUAACUGGCCAC